AGAGAGAGACAUGCGCGCAUAUCAAUAAGCGGAGGAAAAGAAACUAACUAGGAUUCCCUCAGUAACGGCGAGUGAAGCGGGAAGAGCUCAAAUUUGAAAUCUUCAAGGUUUUACCUUGACGAAUUGUAGUUUAAAGAAGUGUUUUCUGUUGAGGUUUUGGUAAAAGUUCUUUGGAAUAGGACAUCAUAGAGGGUGAGAAUCCCGUAUUUGACCAUUACUUUCAGCUUUGUGAUACACUUUCAAAGAGUCGGAUUGUUUGGGAAUGCAGUCCAAAAUGGGUGGUAAAUUUCAUCUAAAGCUAAAUAUUGGCGAGAGACCGAUAGCGAACAAGUACCGUGAGGGAAAGAUGAAAAGAACUUUGAAAAGAGAGUUAAACAGUACGUGAAAUUGUCAAAAGGGAAGCGUUUGACACCAGUGUUGUUUUUCUGAAAAUCAAUUAAAGAACUGUUUAUGCUAAGUUGUUUAGACUUUAUCAGCUAUCUGUUUAGUUUUGAGCUUUUCUUUAAUGCACUUUUCAGUUAACAAGUCAACAUCAAUUUCUUUUGCUGUAAAAAAGCUUGAGGAAGGUGGCUUGAGAUUCGUCUUAAGUGUUUAUAGCCUCUUGCCUAUGCAGUCGGAGAGAUUGAGGUCUGCAGCGUAGAUCCUUCGGGGCUAAAUGCAUUUGUGCUAAGUUAUAGCAUUUUAUAGACAACUUGUUGACUAUGAUUUGUCUUGUAGCUUACUCGCUUAUGUUAUUUUACCUACGCUUAGGAUGUUGAUGUGAUACUGCGAGCA
Molecule: ribosomal RNA, 774 nt
Filed under: uncultured Neocallimastigales
Lineage: Eukaryota; Fungi; Neocallimastigomycota; Neocallimastigomycetes; Neocallimastigales
Description: partial large subunit ribosomal RNA
Rfam family: Eukaryotic large subunit ribosomal RNA
Source: RNAcentral